UACGUAGGGGGCAAGCGUUGUCCGGAUUUAUUGGGCGUAAAGAGCGUGUAGGCGGCCCGAUAAGUCCGCUGUGAAAGUCCAGGGCUCAACCCUGGAAUGCCAGUGGAAACUGUCGGGCUAGAGUCCGGAAGAGGCGAGUGGAAUUCCUGGUGUAGCGGUGAAAUGCGCAGAUAUCAGGAGGAACACCGAUGGCGAAGGCAGCUCGCUGGGACGGUACUGACGCUGAGACGCGAAAGCGUGGGGAGCAAACAGG
Molecule: ribosomal RNA, 253 nt
Filed under: uncultured bacterium
Lineage: Bacteria
Description: partial 16S ribosomal RNA
Rfam family: Bacterial small subunit ribosomal RNA
Source: RNAcentral